UGGCGGCGUGCCUAAUACAUGCAAGUCGAGCGGACAGAUGGGAGCUUGCUCCCUGAUGUUAGCGGCGGACGGGUGAGUAACACGUGGGUAACCUGCCUGUAAGACUGGGAUAACUCCGGGAAACCGGGGCUAAUACCGGAUGGUUGUUUGAACCGCAUGGUUCAAACAUAAAAGGUGGCUUCGGCUACCACUUACAGAUGGACCCGCGGCGCAUUAGCUAGUUGGUGAGGUAACGGCUCACCAAGGCGACGAUGCGUAGCCGACCUGAGAGGGUGAUCGGCCACACUGGGACUGAGACACGGCCCAGACUCCUACGGGAGGCAGCAGUAGGGAAUCUUCCGCAAUGGACGAAAGUCUGACGGAGCAACGCCGCGUGAGUGAUGAAGGUUUUCGGAUCGUAAAGCUCUGUUGUUAGGGAAGAACAAGUACCGUUCGAAUAGGGCGGUACCUUGACGGUACCUAACCAGAAAGCCACGCA
RNAcentral lists this ribosomal RNA (478 nucleotides) under marine sediment bacterium ISA-7070. RNAcentral's name for it is "bacterial SSU rRNA". It matches the Rfam family "Bacterial small subunit ribosomal RNA", at positions 37 to 497 of the family's 1533-position model. The record is from RNAcentral.